AUGCAAGUCGAGGGGUAACGGAAGUAGCUUGCUACUAGACGACGACCGGCGCACGGGUGAGUAACGCGUAUGUAAUCUGCCUUGUACAGAGGGAUAGCCCAGAGAAAUUUGGAUUAAUACCUCAUAGUAUUACCGAAUCGCAUGAUUUGGUAAUUAAAGCUCCGGCGGUACAAGAUGAACAUGCGUGACAUUAGCUAGUUGGUAAGGUAACGGCUUACCAAGGCCACGAUGUCUAGGGGUUCUGAGAGGAUGAUCCCCCACACUGGUACUGAGACACGGACCAGACUCCUACGGGAGGCAGCAGUGAGGAAUAUUGGUCAAUGGACGCAAGUCUGAACCAGCCAUCCCGCGUGAAGGAUGACUGCCCUAUGGGUUGUAAACUUCUUUUAUAUGCAAAUAAACCUACUUUCGUGAAAGUAGCUGAAGGUAGCAUAUGAAUAAACACCGGCUAACUCCGUGCCAGCAGCCGCGGUAAUACGGAG
This 482-nucleotide ribosomal RNA is filed under the name uncultured bacterium. Its description in RNAcentral is "bacterial SSU rRNA". It matches the Rfam family "Bacterial small subunit ribosomal RNA", at positions 55 to 530 of the family's 1533-position model. The record is from RNAcentral.